GGCACGGGUACCGGCCGACUUUUCAUUCGGCCGGCCAUGUUGAAUUUUUUUGCCAGCGGUAUGUUUGACACGUUUGGUCUUCGAAUUUGGGAGAAGAUUUUUACGCCGUAAAUGACUUUUAUGAGUCUUGAAAUAACAAUAAUUUGAUGAAUAAAUGGUCCGCCAACAAGGUUGGGUGUCUGAGUGCAGCUGUCUGUCCGCACAUUCAUCCCUGGGUUCAGAUCAUCCCGGGCCCAGCCGGGAGGUGCCGAUGUCUGCUCUUCAUCUGCCCAAGGAGUCCUGGAAACAGUUGGCGGAUCUUGUGCAUUUCAACCACAAAACAGUAUGUACUUUUUCUCACUGAAAUCUUUUGGAAAGAUUCCCAUAACUGACCAUCACUAAUUUCAAUGACCUAUCAGCCAUCAGAAAGUGAUAUGUCCUAAAAAGUCUUUACUGAGAAAACACUUGGAAGUUUUCAGACCAGUCUCAUAGAUGGCCAGAUAUGGCAAUCUUUCCUCUUUCUUUUCAGGAGUUCCAAAUGUUGGACUGAAUGAUAUUGGGUUUGGCUGGGUUUGGCUGCGUUGCGUUGCCAUGAAUGAAAUGUGGAACAAAGUUGAUGUCAAAAGACCAUUUGGUUGCAAUAUUCCUGAGCUGUUACUAGUGUUAGGAGUUCAACUUGUGUGAAUUUACCAUGUGAAUACUUACUGUGAAUACUUGAAAGUUUAAGACUUAGUGUGCACUCAAAAUCAACAAUAACUGGACUGAAAAAUAGUUCGAAUUGUGCAGUCAAGCUAUAAUUCAGGUAAAUUCAGUAGAUUAAUUUGGGAAAAUGUACUAUCAUUUAUUUGGGCAAUUGCUUUGCUCCUGUUAUUGGAAAUGCACAGUUUUGAAUGCGUGGCUUUUUUUCUCAAUUCUUCUGUACGGUGAUGACAACAUUUGUUUGUCUUGUUUGUUUUACCAGUCAUGAUUAAACACUAUAGGCGUAAUUGAUGACAAAAAUAGAAGUAUAUACGAGAACUGUAUACCUGUAGGCGUAUCUCAAUUUGCUACACCUCUAUUUGACAACUGAAAGUCACUUAGAAUUUCAAUGACGUGAAAUUUACCAAUUCAAAUUCUUUAUUCCUUCCUUUAAAUCCUCCAAACGUUUUCUUCAAUCCAUCCUCAAGUGUCCCAUUUUUGUGCUGGAUUUGAUUUACAAAAAAUAGACAGUCAAACUUUGGCAUCUACUGUAAUUGAUGCAAAGUGGAUUACAAGGACAAAAGUGCUUGUUAUCCAAACUAAAUUUUUUAUAAACCAUUGUACCAUUUUUUAACUGAAAAAACUGCACUUACUCUUACAUCAAAUUGAAAUGCGAUUUGAAAUACAUGCUUUUUUAUUUACUGCUUACUACUAAGGCCAAAAUCAGAAACAAAUAUUUAGUAACAAAAAAAUGAUUUAAUUUCCCCACCCUCUAAUUAUGACUAGUGUCCCGCCCCUAAAAGAGGGAGUUUGCCCAAAUGCUGUGGUUUUCAUGUAAUUUGAACUCUUUUUUUUUUAGCUUACCCCAAGAAGUCUUGAUAAACUUACUUUUGUGUUUAUUUUGCCAUUUCCAGUAGAAAACCCCACCCACAAAAAGGUAGGGGAAAAUGGCUAUUCAACUGUGUACUCUUGAUUUAUACCACAAGCCAACUGACUAUCUGAUAAGCUUACAGUGACUUUUAGGUAGUACCCAAUUGCUUGAGUAUAUGGACCUGCAGUUUGCUGAAUUGCCUCUCACCUGUGAAACGCUGGAGCUAGUCAUUGCACUGCAGCCACAGUUGAGACAAGACUUUCCCUUACUCCCCUUGGUGAUUCGUGACUGGCUCAUCACCGUACAUUCCCUCCCCAUACCUCCACCCUCCAUCCCCUCUUCCCCACCCUCCAUACCCUCUUCCCCACCUUCCAUACCCUCUUCCCCAUCCUCCAUCCCCUCUUCCCCAUCCUCCAUCCCUUGUCUAACAUCAUUUGCACGCACUAGUUCAUUUCUAUCCUUCCUCCAUCCUCUCACCUACUCUUUUCUUCUGUCACUCGCACGCACCGUUUCAUUUCUAUCUACCUUUCCUCUUCCCCGUUUCUCCUUCCUCUCUUUUCCUCCCUCUCCAUCUCUCGCACGCACCGUCUAAUUUCUGCUCUUCCUCUCUCACUAACAUGGGAUCAUGACAGCUACCUUCCCGGUGGUGAUCCUGUUAAGGGAAGCUUUCCUGUUAAAGGGAAAUUUCCUGAACUAAAGCUGUCAAAUAGGGGACACUAGUACACUGGAUCAUUCAUUAAUCUUCAUUACGUUUUAUAAUUGAGAUCAUGAUGAUAAUGUCAUGUUGCGUUAUGCAAUUUCCUAGUCAAAAGAAACUUUCUUUCUGACUCGCCCUGUAUGAAUCACACAAUAGUGAACAAAUACCCCCUUACACGCGCUGAUCCAGUACGGUACACGUGCCACGUGAGUGUUAUUGAGUUUUCCACCAGCCUGGCGAGUGGCAUUGUGUUGCACUGCAAAAAGCUGCAAAACAAUCAUCUUUCCUAAGGAUUUUGACUCCAAGAACAGAGGCCUCAUCACGAACAAUGACUCAUCAAGGAUUCAUUGCGGACCAGGACCAGCGUAGUGCUUGAAGUUGAUGAUCGAACCUGGUGAGAAUGAGACGGCUCUUUUAAAAAUCAUCCGCCAUGACCGCACCUGUCUGUGAGGGAUGAGGCACCAUCCUGAGGUCAUCAUCACAUCUUUUCUGGCUUCUCUCAGGAUGAUCGAGUGCUCCAAAUUGAAGAGACUGAUCUUUGCAAACCAUGCUGAGGCUGGAUUGGACCAGACCAGUGCCUAGACUAGGCAGGACAGGCUGGAUGACCAUCACCAUGGCGACUGGGAUGAUCUUAAGGGUGACUGAUCACAUGACUGAGAUACUGAGUCCUGGUGGAGGUUUCCUUGCGUCUCAUUUGGAAGACUGCUGACAGGAAUUGGCUGGACUGGAUCAAGUGGCUGCUGUUGGAGCAAACUUUGAGCAAAUCCUUGGCAAUGAGAGGUCCUAAUCCAAUCGUGCGUUAUAAUAUUCCGAGUCUAAAAAGUUAAGCCUCAAAGAGAAAUACCAGACAAAAAUAAAUAAAAGUUUGUAAUAGAACCAUGUAUAAGAAAUCUAAUGAGUUUUGGAGGUUCUUCACCAUGCAAUCCUUCUAUUAUCUCAUAUUUUGUGAGGCAGUACUUUCAUUGCCAAGGAUUUGCCAGUAUGAUUGAUGAGUUUGAAUUAGUUGUUCAGGCACAUGUCACAAAAGUCUGAAAUGUUUCAAAAUGAACAAGAAUAGGCAAAUUGCAACCACCACAAUCAACAACUCCUUAGUUUAAACUUUUUUUUUAGACCUGAAGUUUGAACUUGUGAAAAAGAAAACCUUAUUUCAGAGUUUGUUGUCUUGAUGUGAAUAUGACAUGCAUUAACUCUGAUACUGUCUAGACUUUUCAUUUGAAUUCUGAGUGUUUCUAACUAAAAAUGAAGGCCUAAAAUGUAUUAAAACUAAAAUCCUUAAAAAGAGACACUUCUGAUUUUCACAAAAUUAAGCAAGUAACCAAAAAGUUGCAUACAGUUAACUUUGCCAAAACAAAUUCUGUUUUUUUUCCAAGAAAGUUUGUUGACAUGUGCCUGGACUGUUGUCUAGAACUGUAAAAAAAAAAGAGUUAAGAUGAUGAUGCAAGCAAGAUUAUAAUUGUAUGGAUCUACAAUGGCACAUUAUAAUGAUUGAUCAGUAUACAUUGAUCAAUAUACCAGUAUUUAUAACUGUUAAAUUGUAAAUAGACAUAUAAUUAUAAAACUUUAAUAUUUGAAUUCUGAAAUGAUGUUCUGUUUGAUGUCUGCCAUUGAAUCCUUCAUACUGCUGACGUUUUGACAAUUUUGGAUGGCAGAGAUACGUUAGUUUGAAUAUUGGUUACUUUGAAAUAAUCAAAUAUUGUAUCGAUUACAUAGAAUGUUAACGAAUCUGUCUCUGACGAUGAGAGGAAAAAACGACCAAUUUUUUUGAGGUGAAGAAUGUACCAUUUUUAUUUAUUAUAUAGAUACCUUUAGUCAAAACUUUAAUGUAUUUUGCAUGGUUAUUUACGUAAGACAAUUUAUUAUAAUGUGCCAUUGUAGAUUCAUUUGUUCCUUACAUUAAAGUGAAGUUUCUUUGGUGUGAUGGUGUGUUUCUUUUGGACAUAUCUGCUGUCUGUUUUUACAAGUUUGCAGCACAGAACAUUGCUAUCAUAUCCUGUUGGAUAAAUUCACAUUUUUUAUUCUGUGAUUCAAAACAAGUUUGUUAUACUGUGUACCAGAAAAGUUAACUUGACAUAAUUUACUUCAGGAUAGUUCAAUUUGACCAGUUUUAUGCUGUUGGGAUUUCAAUAUUUUUGUAAGUGAAAAGAAAAAUAACCAACGGUGUGUCUAUUUUAAAAAUUUAAAUAAUUGAAGAUGCACUUUAAAAUCUUUUUCUCAAGAUAAUUUUUUUUAAUGUUUGUGAGAAGACAAAAAAAAAUCAUCUAAGACUUGCUGCAAAUUUAUCUAAGUAGACAGCAGAUAUGUCCUUUGUACUUUGGUGAGGGGGUCGACUUAACUUUGAACUAACGAAUGGCGCCCUCUUGCAUGAGGUUUAUUUUUUUAAGGUUACGCAUUUUACUUACUUUUUUAAAGCCUAUUAAGGGCGCCCCCAUGGGACACACUAAGAUUUUGGAGUUCAACUUGAUAUAAUCAAAUUUUUAAUUGAAAUUAAGCAAGGCACAAGAGGGCGCCAUUCAGUAUAACUAAAUGUUUUUUGUUCAAAUUGCACUGUCUCAAGAGGGCGCCCUUUAUGCUGUUUAAAAAAAACUUUAAAAAAUAUUUUAAAAAAUAUUGUUGAAAUAUAAAGGGCGCCCUCUUGUGUAUUACUUUCGAAUUAAAAACUUGGUACUAUUGCAAUAAAAUACAAGAGAGACAUGCAAA
RNAcentral lists this long non-coding RNA (4922 nucleotides) under Patiria miniata (bat star). RNAcentral describes it as "uncharacterized LOC119727171, transcript variant X1". The record is from RNAcentral. Lineage: Eukaryota; Metazoa; Echinodermata; Asteroidea; Valvatida; Asterinidae.